RNAcentral lists this non-coding RNA (71 nucleotides) under Coprothermobacter proteolyticus. RNAcentral describes it as "54-dG-II sequence". It matches the Rfam family "2dG-II purine riboswitch aptamer". Rfam says of the family: Purine riboswitch variant that recognize 2'-deoxyguanosine The record is from RNAcentral. RNAcentral also lists the same sequence under 1 other name. Lineage: Bacteria; Pseudomonadati; Coprothermobacterota; Coprothermobacteria; Coprothermobacterales; Coprothermobacteraceae.
CUCCUGUGUAAUCCCCCAAAUAGGGUGGGGGAGUUUCUACCUGCAGACCGUAAAUCUGCAGACCACAGGGG